This 716-nucleotide ribosomal RNA is filed under the name uncultured bacterium. RNAcentral describes it as "bacterial SSU rRNA". It matches the Rfam family "Bacterial small subunit ribosomal RNA", at positions 8 to 694 of the family's 1533-position model. The record is from RNAcentral.
AGAGUUUGAUCCUGGCUCAGGACGAACGCUGGCGGCGUGCUUAACACAUGCAAGUCGAACGAAGAGCGAUGGAAGCUUGCUUCUAUCAAUCUUAGUGGCGAACGGGUGAGUAACGCGUAAUCAACCUGCCCUUCAGAGGGGGACAACAGUUGGAAACGACUGCUAAUACCGCAUACGAUCCAACCUCAGCAUCGAGGAUGGAUGAAAGGUGGCCUCUAUUUAUAAGCUAUCACUGAAGGAGGGGAUUGCGUCUGAUUAGCUAGUUGGAGGGGUAACGGCCCACCAAGGCAAUGAUCAGUAGCCGGUCUGAGAGGAUGAACGGCCACAUUGGGACUGAGACACGGCCCAGACUCCUACGGGAGGCAGCAGUGGGGAAUCUUCCGCAAUGGACGAAAGUCUGACGGAGCAACGCCGCGUGAGUGAUGACGGUCUUCGGGUUGUAAAGCUCUGUUAAUCGGGACGAAAGGUCCUCUUGCGAAUAGUUAGAGGAAUUGACGGUACCGGAAUAGAAAGCCACGGCUAACUACGUGCCAGCAGCCGCGGUAAUACGUAGGUGGCAAGCGUUGUCCGGAAUUAUUGGGCGUAAAGCGCGCGCAGGCGGAUCAGUCAGUCUGUCUUAAAAGUUCGGGGCUUAACCCCGUGAUGGGAUGGAAACUGCUGAUCUAGAGUAUCGGAGAGGAAAGUGGAAUUCCUAGUGUAGCGGUGAAAUGCGUAGA